UGAAGAGUUAAAACAACAAGCCGCCAGUGUUGACCGAACUCGUGGUGAACACCAUCAGGCUCUGUUUGAUGAGCGCCCUCAUCGGGGUUGCGGACAGUGCCUGGUGGGUAGUUUGACUGGGGCGGUCUCCUCCCAAAGAGUAACGGAGGAGCACGAAGGUGGGCUAAUCACGGUUGGACAUCGUGAGGUUAGUGCAAUGGCAUAAGCCCGCUUAACUGCGAGAAUGACGGUUCGAGCAGGUACGAAAGUAGGUCAUAGUGAUCCGGUGGUUCUGAAUGGAAGGGCCAUCGCUCAACGGAUAAAAGGUACUCCGGGGAUAACAGGCUGAUACCGCCCAAGAGUUCAUAUCGACGGCGGUGUUUGGCACCUCGAUGUCGGCUCAUCACAUCCUGGGGCUGAAGUCGGUCCCAAGGGUAUGGCUGUUCGCCAUUUAAAGUGGUACGCGAGCUGGGUUUAGAACGUCGUGAGACAGUUCGGUCCCUAUCUGCCGUGGGCGUUGGAAGAUUGAAGGGGGCUGCUCCUAGUACGAGAGGACCGGAGUGGACGAACCGCUGGUGUUCGGGUUGUCAUGCCAAUGGCAUUGCCCGGUAGCUAAGUUCGGAAUUGAUAAGCGCUGAAAGCAUCUAAGCGCGAAGCGAGCCCUGAGAUGAGUCUUCCCUGGCACUUUAAGUGUCCUAAAGGGUUGUUCGAGACUAGAACGUUGAUAGGUUGGGUGUGUAAGCGCUGCGAGGCGUUGAGCUAACCAAUACUAAUUGCCCGUGAGGCUUAACCAU
RNAcentral lists this ribosomal RNA (773 nucleotides) under Vibrio anguillarum. Its description in RNAcentral is "partial 23S ribosomal RNA". It matches the Rfam family "Bacterial large subunit ribosomal RNA", at positions 2148 to 2925 of the family's 2925-position model. The record is from RNAcentral. Lineage: Bacteria; Pseudomonadati; Pseudomonadota; Gammaproteobacteria; Vibrionales; Vibrionaceae.